CAAUAGCGUAUAUUAAAGUUGUUGCGGUUAAAAAGCUCGUAGUUGGAUUUCUGCCGAGGACGACCGGUCCGCCCUCUGGGUGGGUAUCUGGUUCGGCCUGGGCAUCUUCUUGGAGAACGUAUCUGCACUUGACUGUGUGGUGCGGUAUCCAGGACUUUACUUUGAGGAAAUUAGAGUGUUCAAAGCAGGCCUUCGCUUGAAUACAUUAGCAUGGAAUAAUAGAAUAGGACUUUGGUUCUAUUUUGUUGGUUUCUAGGACCGAAGUAAUGAUUAAUAGGGACAGUUGGGGGCAUUAGUAUUUAAUUGUCAGAGGUGAAAUUCUUGGAUUUAUGAAAGACGAACUUCUGCGAAGCAUUUGCCAAGGAUGUUUUCAUUAAUCAAGAACGAAAGUUGGAGGCUCGAAGA
RNAcentral lists this ribosomal RNA (405 nucleotides) under uncultured eukaryote. RNAcentral's name for it is "bacterial SSU rRNA". It matches the Rfam family "Eukaryotic small subunit ribosomal RNA", at positions 592 to 1004 of the family's 1831-position model. The record is from RNAcentral.